RNAcentral lists this transfer RNA (65 nucleotides) under Chorthippus dubius. Its description in RNAcentral is "tRNA-Pro". The record is from RNAcentral. Lineage: Eukaryota; Metazoa; Arthropoda; Insecta; Orthoptera; Acrididae.
CAGGGGUUAGUUUAUUAAAAUAUCGGUUUUGGGUAUCGAGGAUAGAAAAUUUUUUCUACUCCUGA